UCACCAUAGCCACACAGGACAAAUGUUGU
RNAcentral lists this non-coding RNA (29 nucleotides) under Rattus norvegicus (Norway rat). Lineage: Eukaryota; Metazoa; Chordata; Mammalia; Rodentia; Muridae. The record is from RNAcentral.